UGGAAUGUACUAACAGCAGCAAGUCCCAGUCCUGUUGUUUUAGGCAUCAAAGGUUCUGGCACGCCCUCAAUGGAAUCACGAUUAACUAUUUGUGCUGUACAGAAGCUGGUUUUGAGAGUGGAAGUGGAAGCACUGAAAAGCAAUGGAUUGCAAGCUCUGUAAACCAUCACAGGAAGAGAGGUUAGGAUUAAGCCUCACAGUCAGACCCAAUGAUCUCAUUGCUGCCAGCAUGAAUGCAAAAUACUUUGAGCGAAAACAAGGGGAUUGAUCUAAAAGGACACAGUGCUACCAGGAAGCUUAAGCUGCCUAAAGACUCCACAAUGUAAGCAGAGAUGAUGGAUAGGAAAGGAUGGAAAGUUACAGGAACUCUACUUCCUGGAACGUUUGGUUUCUCAGCCUCCUCUCUGCCUCCUCCUCCUCUUUGCCCAGGAGCCAUCACGGGGGCAGAUACAGCUCUGACAAUGAAGCCUGGCUGUGGCCCAGGAGGAGCAGAGGAUGCUGGAGAGGGUGGAGUCCAUCUGCCACCCCCUCAGCACAGCCUGGAGUUGCCAGCAGCUACAUGGAGUAGUGCAGGUGUGUCUCGGCGGAGCUGCAGAGAGCACCGUUGCUGGCGAUCGCGCGCUCAGAGCGCCAAGAGGCAUGAGGUGUCUGUCAAGUCUAGAGGCAGGGGCAGAACCAGAGCUGGAGAACUUCUACGAGAAGGCCCAAAGGCAGAGAGGACUAUAUUGGAAUAGCUGGAUAGGGAUCAACACUCAGCCGAGUGUGUGAGAGUCCUGCAUUCACCUUCCCUCGUUUCCCCAAGUGCAGCCUCACAACUAUAGCAGGAAGAAAGCAAGAGUGCAUGAACACAACUGCAGCAGCAGACAUGAAGAAUUCAGGUUGUACUGCCAGCAUGUACCAAAUUCCCUCUGUGAUUUCCUGGACCAAGAGGAUUGUGAGCUCCAGGAGUAAAGAUUUAAUGAGGAAAAGGCAACAAAUGUGGCUUAUCCAUGGGGUUUUAGUGGUGAUGUUGAAUCAAAACAACGCAUUUUUCCAUUGCCCAUUUACAAACUGAAUACUGAUUAAAUGUGAAGGCACUGGAAGAGUUAAAAAAAAAAGAGAAAAUGAGGCCUUGAAACUUUAUUUCAGAAAGGGAUUUAAGGAUGCUGUGUAUGUAGCUUCUACAAAGGAAACUUAGGAAAACUUGUUCCCCUUUAUUAUUACCUAUCAGAAGAAAAAAAUGCCUGAUGGCAGAGAGCAUUUUAGAUUAGAAAGUGAAGACAUCACAGAGUAUCACAUUAGACAAACUUAGUCUAAAAUUACAGCGUGGUUUAUUUUGAUUGAGUCAAAUCUCUGCAUCUUAAAAUCUUUAAAUCAACAUUAAUUUUCUACAAGGCAUGUUCAAGAUAUGAAGGAAAGAAAAAAAUAAUUAUACGUU
Molecule: long non-coding RNA, 1417 nt
Organism: Cyanistes caeruleus (blue tit)
Lineage: Eukaryota; Metazoa; Chordata; Aves; Passeriformes; Paridae
Source: RefSeq, a predicted model, not a curated record